This 496-nucleotide ribosomal RNA is filed under the name uncultured bacterium. RNAcentral describes it as "partial 16S ribosomal RNA". It matches the Rfam family "Bacterial small subunit ribosomal RNA", at positions 29 to 507 of the family's 1533-position model. The record is from RNAcentral.
AUGAACGCUGGCGGCGUGCCUAAUCCAUGCCAGUAGAACGCUGAAGCUUGGUGCUUGCCCCGAGCGGAUGAGUUGCGAACGGGUGAGUAACGCGUAGGUAACCUGCCUCUUAGCGGGGGAUAACUAUUGGAAACGAUAGCUAAUACCGCAUAAAAGUCGAUAUCGCAUGAUAUUGAUUUGAAAGGUGCAAAUGCAUCACUAAGAGAUGGACCUGCGUUGUAUUAGCUAGUUGGUGAGGUAACGGCUCACCAAGGCGACGAUACAUAGCCGACCUGAGAGGGUGAUCGGCCACACUGGGACUGAGACACGGCCCAGACUCCUACGGGAGGCAGCAGUAGGGAAUCUUCGGCAAUGGGGGCAACCCUGACCGAGCAACGCCGCGUGAGUGAAGAAGGUUUUCGGAUCGUAAAGCUCUGUUGUAAGAGAAGAACGAGUGUGAGAGUGGAAAGUUCACACUGUGACGGUAACUUACCAGAAGGGGACGGCUAACUACGUG